RNAcentral lists this transfer RNA (70 nucleotides) under Dipodomys ordii (Ord's kangaroo rat). It matches the Rfam family "tRNA". Rfam says of the family: Transfer RNA (tRNA) molecules are approximately 80 nucleotides in length. Their secondary structure includes four short double-helical elements and three loops (D, anti-codon, and T loops). Lineage: Eukaryota; Metazoa; Chordata; Mammalia; Rodentia; Heteromyidae. The record is from Rfam by way of RNAcentral.
GGGGAUGUGGCUCAGUGGUAGAGAGCUUGCCUAGCAUGCAUGAGGCCCUGGGUUCGAUUCCUCAGUACCA